CCUACGGGUGGCAGCAGUGAGGAAUAUUGGUCAAUGGGCUUACGCCUGAACCUGCCAAGCCGCGUGAGGGAAGACUGCUCUAUGGGUUGUAAACCUCUUUUGUCAGGGAGCAAUUGGCGCUACGUGUAGCGUGAUCGAGAGUACCUGAUGAAAAAGCAUCGGCAAACUCCGUGCAAGCAGCCGCGGUAAUAAGGAGGAUGCGAGGUGUAUCCGGAUUCAUUGGGUUAAAGGGGUGCGCAGGCGGGCCUUUAAGCCGGCGGGGAAAUCCCGGGGCUAAACCCCGCCGAGCCGUCGGUACUGGGGGCCUUGAGUGCGGCGGAGGCAUGCGGAAUGCGCGGUGUAGCGGUGAAAUGCAUAGAGAUCGCGCAGAACCCCGAUUGCGAAGGCAGCGUGCCGUGCCGCCACUGACGCUGAGGCACGAAAGCGCGGGGAUCGAACAGGAUUAGAUACCCCAGUAGUC
Molecule: ribosomal RNA, 460 nt
Filed under: uncultured bacterium
Lineage: Bacteria
Description: partial 16S ribosomal RNA
Rfam family: Bacterial small subunit ribosomal RNA
Source: RNAcentral